This 9377-nucleotide long non-coding RNA is filed under the name Homo sapiens (human). RNAcentral describes it as "non-protein coding TEX41:145". The record is from RNAcentral. Lineage: Eukaryota; Metazoa; Chordata; Mammalia; Primates; Hominidae.
GCAGAAGUAACAUUCCUUUGAACACUCAGCUUUCUGAAAUGGUGUCCCACCGCAAGGACUGGAGAAGGGUAAACCUCAGGUUCUCCUCCUGCCUUUUGCUAAGUAUAUGUCUUGAUGACAAGCCUUCUGCUGAUGAGCUGUGUUUCUGGACCGAUCAUGGUAGAAGUCAAUUAACGUGUCCCUCACUUGGGGUUUCUCAAGGCUGCACUGAUGAGGAAACUGAAACAGAAAAUCCAGAGUAAAUUCCACCAGGCCACACAGCAAGGUCUGAUAGAGCCAGGAGAGACUUUAUGAAAUCCAGACUCUCACACUAAUGCUCUAUCAGCUAGACCUCCAUGUGAGUCUCCCCAAUGUAGGUAGGAAGUGCUUUCCCUAAAAUGCUCAUAAAGCAAAUCAGAGCAAUGCUGCAUUCCAUGUGAUUUCUAAUUUGAAAUGCAAACAAUUGCCAAUUUGUUUGACUUGUAUUUAUAAUUAUUUCCUUGUGAAUUACUCAUCACUAAAUGCUUUAUAAAUAUUUUCUCUUUUUUUCCUCAAUGUCUAUGGAAUGAUCACAGCAUAGAAAAUGUUGGCUUUCAAGGAUUUAUUAAUAUCUCCUUUUGAAAUAACAUGUAUUUGUAAGACAGAAUAAAAUCACUUUAAAGAAACAAAUCUUGAAUUUGAUUUCCCGUUCAGACAAUGACUUAUUUGAUGUCCUUAAUAAGAUGAACUACAUAGUGACUUUUAUUUAAAGGAUCCAUUAUAUAAGAAGUAGAAAAGUAAAUAUGCACACUUAGAUGAGCACGGCCUUGCCAACAGCUCCUUCUGAUAGAUUUUUAGACUUUACUAAGUUUGUGUAAGCCGAAGGCAUCACACUGUAUGCAUUACUGAAUCUAAUUUCACUUUUGCCAAUAACAAAAAAAAACAAGCUAGUGGCAUAAUAUGGCAGUAUGCAUCAUAUGCUUACCAUAAUCUCAAAAUUUAACUCUUUGUAAAGAACUGAGCCAAUUAUUUCUGUCUUUUUGAGCAUGAAACCUAAUUUAAAGCAUUUUUCUAGAUGAUAAAAUAAAUACUCCUUUACUCAGAAACUUAACAAAUCCAGAAUAGAAUACAGAACUCAGUAGCUAGAUUCAGAAUAUUGUUCAUACUAUUUGCUUGGAAUCACAUCAAUAUCACGUGAUUUUCAAGGAAGAAAAAUAAACAGUAGUUCCCCGCUUUUUUGGUCCUGGUUGCUCCCAACUGGCAAUAGCGUAUGUGUGUUUUAGUCUGUGCUUUGCAAAACUUGAUGUGAAUUCAAACCAGCACAAAUAUUAAAAAGUGCAAUUUCCACUUUUGAAAACAAAAUUUAGAAAUUGUUAAAUAUUAGCAAUUUGUUUAAGCAAGGGAGGAAAAGGAACCAUUAGAAGAAAUUCAGAGGCAUUAAAAGGGUCACAAGGAUUGACUUAUGAGAUCAAACAAACAAAAAAAAACACACAAUGCUAGAUCUGUUGCUGGACAAAACCAUGGUAAGCCAAAGCUCUAAUAGUGAUAUAUACAGUCUGGGGAAAGCAACUUCACAUUUUGGUGUAAUUGAGGGAGGAAAAUGACCCAGUUCUACUUGCUAAUAAUAAGUAUCAUUAGGUAAAGGAUAUAGUAAUUGAAAGGCAACUCCUCAGAUUUAAAUAUUAUUUAAAGUAUCUUUAAGCAAGUAGAUAAGUAUAGCAACAAUCAAAAAUGCUUAUUCAACUCAAUUCCUACUUUCCCUUCCCAAAUCUUAAAAUUGAUAAAAAACAAACACACAAACAAAAACAAAACAAAACAAAACAAAAACAAAAACCAGAGAAAGAGAGAGCUAGUUGGAUACCAAUGUCUGAACUCCAUACCCCAACAGGGACCUCGUUUUGUAUGACUGCCACAGAAACGAGCACAGAGAGGGGCAAGAUAAUGUAAGGAACAGGGUAGGGGAGGAAAAAAUGGCCGUUUUAAAAGGAAUGACAAGGUUGGGUGAAACAUAAAAAGCCACUCCAUAGCCAAGAGAGAUUAAAAAGAGCUCAAGAGGGUCAUGUUGCUUCCCAUUUCCCCUUACCUGAUUCUUGCUGCCACUCCAUUGGUUAAGUUUUACAGGUUGCAGUAACUGGCAAGGAAGAGGUGUGCCUCUCAGCUGUUCACAAUGCAGAAUCUUGAAAAGGUCAACAUAGUAGCAGUAUGACAGGCCAUGUAAGUCAUUAUGUGCUUUAUAAUUCAUUUGUAAGUAGAAUGAGAACUGGAGCAAAUUAAAUGUAAACUCUGCCAUAGGACCUCUAAAAACAUGUUAGUCAUAUGGAAAGCUAGGUUUUGUUUUCUAUCUAGAAAGACAAACAAAUAUUUCUUCACAAAUGUGUUACUUUCCUGAGGAGAGCAGAAAUGGGAGAUAAAUCCAUUUGCUGCAAAGUGGUUUAAAGAAAAUAUAUUGGCAGCAGGAGGAAGGUGGUUUAGGGAGAUGAUAUGUAAUAGAAUACAUAUACAAGUACUAUGAGCGUUGAGAUUCAGGUUAGUGCUAAUUAGACAUUUCCUGAUCAGUGAAAAUCGUAAGACUUUCAAAGUCCUGUAUUUUAAGAAAUAGUAAAAUCUAUCAGGUAAGAUAAUAUAUUUAUGACUUACCGCAGUAUUUUUGUGAUGGUUCUGUUCUUUGUGAAGCCUUAUUUUGCAUUGAAAUUGGCACAAUUUUACACCGUUAACCAAAUUUUCUUUUAAUGGAAACUCACACACACAUAGCACAUUCUUUAGUACUAAGAUGCUAAAGUUGCUGAACAUGCUACAGGUGAUUAUGAGGCAGUAGUGAAAGAGUUAAUUAUCCAUCAUUCCUCCCCCCUACCCUAGACAUCCCACUGUGCCUCUGUUAUAGACUUAGGCACAGUUCCUAAUGGCAAAAUCUAUUAGAAUGCACAAUAUUCUCCCAAGGGAGCUGGUGGAAGUUCUGUCACUUGAGACAUUUAAAACUACACUGGGUAAAGCACUAGAGAGCUGUGAGUGCAUGUGUUCCAACCCUCAGGACAGAAAUCAUGACCUAAUGGGUGAUUUCUAUCCCUUAAUGUCUCUGAUUCGCUGGGUGUUUUAAUAGCUCCCUCAUAUUUAAGUAGAUGACCAACGGUCUAUUUUUUUUUAAUGGAACUUGAGUUUGGUCUGUAAAGUGUCAAGACAGAGGUGACAAAACAAACCACAGGGGAAUGGAGGAAGCCUCGUGGAAAUUUAGUUGGUUUGAAGGAGGGUUGAGCAAACACAACAGUGUAUUCGGGUUUAGCAAAUGCCUUGACUUCUUUUUUUUUUUUUUUCAAAUGUUUUCAGUUCAAGGAAACCCAAAACACAUUUGGCUAAACAGUUUUUCCUUAAUUUUCAAACCCAUGUGUAUUUCAAGGGAAAUUUAAUCCAUGUGUUUCUGAUUCAUUUACACUUAGCUCAUCAAAAUGUGGUUUCAUAAGACCCAUUUGAUGUCUAAGAAGCCUUGUGAGCUUUUUUUUUUACAAGCUUUUUUUCUUUGAACCAGGAAGUUACAUUUUGCCAAGAGUCAAUGGAACUUCAACCAGAAAAGAAUCAGUUUUGUUUGGGAUCUUGGAAUCCUCAAAGUUGGUGGGAGCUAAUGAGCCGGGAGGGGAGGGGAGGAGAAGCUGAUUCAGAGAGCAGGAACCUUCCCAUUUCUAAUAUGUUAUCUGUUCAGAUAACUUGAAAAUCUAAUUUUCUCUCAGUUUAUAGUAGAAAAUUCAUCUUCAAUUUUUGAAAAUCUUGUGGAAAACAUGAGCAUGAAUUUUAUUACAGGGUCCAAUGCUGUCACAUGAUCUGAUAAUCAUCCACUAGUGAGUCUGUGGGUGAUGAGUAUCAGAGCAGUAAUGACAUACUUAUCUUAGAGGCAAUUAUUAAGAAGUGACUCACAAAAGUGUUUAGAUUGGCCAUUUUUUUAAUAUUUAAAAAAGCUUCCUCUGCCUGGUUGUUGUCGCUCUGUGCACAACACUACUGGUUAUUUAAGAAACAAGACAAAUAAGACUCAGUGAAUGUGCUGAUUCAGGUGCACACAAUCCCCUAUCUCAUUGCUGGUGUUGCUAAAGAGCAUCUGGGGUAAGGAAACAUGCAUCCGGUCCAUCCGUCAAGAGUCCAUGAGAAAGCCAACAAUGUUUGCACCUGCAGGAUGAAUUACAUCUUUGGUGAGUGUGGGAAGCUACAUAAUGAGACAGCUGAGUGGCUGACAUUUCUUUUUUCUUGCUCCUUCUGCACCUUCUUUUUGCACUACCUUCAUUUUUCCCACUUCCUCUCCCUUUUCCCCACCUUUAUACAAUCACCACCAAUAAUGGAGCAAAUGUGGCACAUCCAUCCAAGGAUGGGUUGACAUGGUUUACACAUUGCUUUCAUUUGGUUGUUCUUUGGAUGAAUUCUUCCUUGAGAACAAGAUAAUGAAAACCAUACGGUCAUUGAGCACACAAUCUGCCUUCACUUUGGCUGUUCCCUCGCAGCCCGUUUCAUUUUAUAAAGCCUGGUCCCUGAGUUUACGCCAGUAGAAGAUCCCAAGCAGGUGGAAUCCUGCCCCCUAUGGGCUUGCAGAAUUCAGCAAACACUGUCAGUUUAGCUCUUGCCUGUCACCCAUACAUCAGAGAACUUAUUUGAAUGGAACAUCUCUUGCUAGUCUGGUAAAGGUUUAGAAACUUGGCCUUCUAAGUAUUCAUGUAAGUUCUGUUCUGGGACCUUCAUUGUAGGAACUGAAAAUGAAAGAACCAAAAUAGAUAUCAACAGAUAAUUAAAGGAACGUUUGGAAGUUUUUUACCUCAUGCAAACCUCAAACUCUGAACCACUACUGCCUAAAGGAAAUAAAUACUGUGUUAUGGUGAGUGAAGGUAAAGGUGUACUUUAUUUCUUGGAUGAGUUUUGACAGUGUAAAACAAAAUGAUAAGUUUUUAACUAUGGCAGAAAGUUCAGACAACAGGUGUGAGGGAAAAGAAUUAUUCAUUGAUUCAAAGUCCCAUACAAGUGAGUGAAAUGGCUAAAAGCAAUAAAAUUACAGAUGACGUCUUUGGAAUUUAAACAAAAGAAGUUUAUUUUCACUUUCUAAUUUGUAGCUUGCUUUUAUAGACACCAAAGAAACAUCACAGAAAUAUUAAAUUAUUCUCUGAAAAUACAAAGAUAAAAACUAUUGAGGUUUAAGAUAGAAGAUAUUUUCUCUUAAAAUUGGCUAUGAUACUUCUACACUGAUAGAACUUAUGAAAAUAGCCAAUCUAUUAUGACUAAUUUAAUUUUCUUUCCCAAAGAUACAUAAUUCAGAAUAAAAACCGUAAUCAAUGCCCAAAACACAAAUCUCAUACAUCUUGCUAAUGCUGGAGAAAUAGUGUCAAGUUCUUUUUCAGUACAAAUAUAUGCAGUACUUUUACUAUGUUUUGUUUUUAAUUCUCAGAAAUCCUUAUUAUUAAUCAAGCAAAACAAGCUUUUUAUAAUAUAGAAUUAUCCUUCCGCUGUAAGAGUAGAAGCAAAGUAAUUCAAAGUAAAAUAUGAAAAGUGCUAUAAUUUAGUAAGAGAUGGAAAGAAAUUUAGAAUAAUUUUGUUCAAACUCAUAAUUUUAUGAUUGAAGAAACAAAAAUCCAGAGUGUUUAGGAGUUUGUUCAAAGUUCAAAACCUGGAAUCUCUAAGGUUGGAUAUCAGAAGUCAGCUCUAAAUACAAGUUCAGUGCUAUUUUAACAAUCAAUAAAAUUUCUAAGAGCAAUAUAUUCCUGAGAUGGAACACAUCAGAAAAGACUAUAGGGAUUCUUUGAAUUUGGAAAGUUCUUACUAGGUAGAAAUUCCAAUAAAUACAACAGAUUAAAAUGGAACUCAUUCACUGAGGUGGAGUUGGAAACCCUAGGGUCUCAUUUGUUAGCUCCUCUCACCCACUCCUUCUGAGGGCCCUCUGAAUACCUUGUAAAAACUCCAAGAGUUUCUUAGGACACUGUCUUAAAACCACCAAUAAUAUUCCCAGUUGUGGUGAGUAGACUCAAAAGUGACCCCAAUGACCCUACAAAGUACCACAGACUGGGUGGCUGAAACAACAGACAUUUAUUUUCUCAUGAGUCUGGAGGUUAGAAGUUUGAGAUCAAGGUGUCAGCAGAGUUGGCUUCUGAGGCCUCUCUCCUUGGCUUGUUGAUGGCCAUCUUCUCUCUGUGUCUUCACAUGGUCUUCCUUCUGCACUUGUCUGUCUCUUAAUUUCUUCUUGUAAGAACACCCAUCAUUGCAUUAGGGCCUGCCCUAGUGACCCCAUUUUAACUUAAUUAUCUGUUUAAAGACUUUAUGUCUGAGUUUAAUUAAGCUAAUACAACAAAAUACCUUAGACUGGGUAAUUUAUAAACAUCAGAAACUUAUUGCUCAUAAUUCUAGACACUGGGAAGUCCAAAAUGAAGGCACCAGCAGAGUCAGUGUCUGGUGAUGGCUCACUCUGCUUCAAAGAUGAUGCCUUCUCAAGUGUCCUCACAAGGUGAAAGGGUGAGGCAUCUCUCUGGGGUCUCUUUUAUCAGGACAGCAAUCUCAUUCACAACAGCAGAGCCCUCAUGACCUAAUCAUCUCCCAAAGGUCCCACCCCCUAAUAUCAUCACCUUGGUGAGUAGGUUUCAAUAUAUGAAUGUUGUGGGUAUGCAAACAUUCAGAUGAUAGUACCUUAUCUCUAAAUACAGUUACAUUCUGGGGUACAGUGGGCUUUGACAUAUAAAUUUGUGGGUUGUGGGGAAGCGGGCAUUUUUCAGCUCCUAACACUCACCUUUCUAUAUUAUCCCUUUGUAUCAUACCCUCCCCUUGGGUGGGAAAUUUGACUUGAUUCUAAUCUAUAGAAUAUGACAAAAGUGAUAGGAGUCACUUUAUCACUUCAUGAUUAUGUCACAUGAUAAAAUAACCUGUCUUGUUCUAGAGAUUUUCUGUCUCUCUUAUAGACUUUGAAAAAGUGAAGUGGCCAUGUUAGGAGGCCCAGAUGGUAAGGAGCUGAGGGAGGCCUCCAGGAAAUGGCCAGCAAGAAGCCGGCUCCCUCAGCCUUGUAGCUACAAGAAAAUGAAUUCUGCCAGCAAUCUGAGUGAACUUGGAAGCUGAUUCUUCCUCUGUCAAGCCUCCAGAUGAGAAUCUCAGUCACAGCCAACACCUUGACUGCAGUCCUUAGCAGAGGACUCUGCCAAGCUGUGCCAGGACUCCUGACCUGCAGAAAUUGUGAGUACCAACUCACUGAGCUUUUAUGAGGAUGAACCGAAUUAAUAUCUGCAAAGUGCUUAGAAUACAACCUGGCACACAGCAAAUACAUGCCUUUGUUUGGGUCACAGAAUAUCUUGAAUGCAGAGCUCACACAGGUUGUGAUAGGCUUUACUUCUAUCACUAACUGGAAACAAAGAAAAUCUACACUGAAGGAAACCUUUUCAAGUCGAACUUCUGUCAAGCAAUUGGAGGAGCAUGUGGUUUUGUGGUGCAUUCAAUAAAUAUGGACCAGUUCUGUGCUAGGAGUUUAGGAUACAUGUUGGUUUAUAGUCUAGCUGGGACAAAAAAAAAAAAAAAACCACAGAGUAAGUUUUCUGAUAAGCAAGUUAAAUCACACAUGACAAGCAGGCAGAGGAGAAAACCUGUGUGAGAAAGUCUGGCAAAUCGGAACAAUUGAAAGAAAUUCAAUAUGGCGGUGGAAGAGUGGCAAGUGAUGACAUGAUGAUCCGAGAGAGAGAGAGAGAGAGGUCAGAUGACACAAGUCCAUAAUAAGCUCUAAAUAUUUUCCUUGUCAUUAAGAAAUUAUUGUAAGACUUCAAGCAGUAGCAUGAAAUUAUAACAUUUAUGUUUAUUUUCAAAGGAUUAUACUGGUUUCAGUAAGAGAAUAAACAGGAGAAAUUAGGAGACAGAUAUGGUAGUUUUGAUUAGGUUAGUGACAGGGGGUAGAGAGAGAGUUAAAUAGUGUGAACUGGAAAAUUGGACAGAAUUGGCAACUGUUCAGGAAGUUAAAUAUCUUAAAUACAAUAGCUCUCCAUUCUCAUUAUCUGACUAAACAUACCUCACCAGCUUCAGCUAAAAGCCAUGUGCCCCCUCACUCUUUAUGCUUCAACCACAAUGACCUACAGUUCCUCAACCUCAAAAACCCUUUGCUAUGUCUUUUUUAAUACAUACUCCUUUUGGCUAAGAAUGCCCUCUCCACUGGUCCCUACAAUUUCAGGUCUUCCUUCAGGACCUAUCCUGAGCCCCUAAUCUAGGGGCUGUUAUAUCUAGGGGCUCUUCCUGUUAUGUAUUCCCAUUGCCUACUGCUUUCUUUUUUGGGGUGGUGGUGGGGUGGUGGGGAGGGUAGUAGUCCCUUCAAUCACACUAGAAUACUUUGGUAUGAGGUGGAAUAAUCUCUCUUUUAUUAUAGUAGGGACUUUGACUAACUUUCUCUUUGCUGUAUUCCCAUUGCCAGGACACUGCCUACACAUACUAGGCACUCAAUAUAUAUUUGCUAAAAAAAUUAGCAGACUCAGAUGAUGAAUCUUACUAAGUCUGCCUUAAAAAUAUGCACAUCCUUGUAGAGUCAGUAUGACUAAAAUAUUUAGUCUCCUUAGGUUUCUGCUGGAAACCCAACGAUGACUAUCUACUGCUUAUAGGUGACACUUAUGACCACCAAAUUGGUAGCAUAGACAAUUCGGUCUAAUUCCAGUGGUAUACACAGUACCAUAAUUUGGGUAGCUUUUAAGAGUACUGAUGCCCACCUCCUAUACUAGAACAAUUGAAUCAGAAUCUCUGAGGUUUGAGGUAGGCACUGGUAUUUUUAGAUUAUCCAAAUGACUAAAAUAUGCAUGAGAGAUUAUUACAGUGUGAUGUUUACUCAGCUCUACCAGCUAAAAUACCGUAGAUGUACAGAUCUGAUGUUCAAAUACGUUUCUAUAGUCUAUUAAACUCACUAAACCAGGGACUGCAUCAUUAUGAACUUUGCAAUUCAUUUGUUCAAUUUCCCAGAAGCAUUUAUUGCGUACCUGUUAUGUGCCAUUUUUACAUUAAGUGACAGAGAUGCAGACAUUUUUAGGACUGAGGGUCUUUAGAAAUAGUAUUUAUUUCCUACCUGAAAAAAAGCUAUGGCUCCCAGAUCCAUAAAAUAUCUGACUUGUAUGUACAAAAUCACUUGUUAUCAAUAUUUUCAUUGACUUGACUUUGAAAACCCUUGUUUUUAUGUUUUAUCUUCUAAAUCAGUUAUGCUCAUGUUUAUUUUUUCUGCUUACAUAUGUUCUGCCACAUUUCCACUGAGCAGUAGAAGAUACUACUUUUUAAAUGUUAUUACAGCUUUUUAAGGGUUAUAUUAGACAUAGUCAUGGAAUAAAAGAAUGUCUGCUAAGAUUCAUCAGCCUGCUCCUAUGAAUUUUCUCCUUAUUCAUAUUACAGUGGAUGAUACAUAUUAAUUACUAGACACAGGUGUUUUACAGGAGGAAAAAAUGUUUUAUGCUUCUUCACAG